AAAGUGGAGCAAUCCAUGAGUAGAGUGGCAAACGGGUGAGUAACACGUGGGUGACCUGCCUUCGAGCGGGGGAUAACGUCCCGAAAGGGACGCUAAUACCGCAUAACAUCCUGCCUUUUAAGAGGUGGAGAUCAAAGCCGGGGAUCGCAAGACCUGGCACUUGAAGAGGGGCCCGCGCCUGAUUAGCUAGUUGGUGGGGUAAUGGCUCACCAAGGCAACGAUCAGUAUCCGGCCUGAGAGGGCGGACGGACACACUGGGACUGAGACACGGCCCAGACUCCUACGGGAGGCAGCAGUGGGGAAUUGUUCGCAAUGGGCGCAAGCCUGACGACGCAACGCCGCGUGGAGGAUGAAGACCUUCGGGUCGUAAACUCCUUUCGAUCGAGACGAAUGGUUUCCGGGUGAACAAUCCGGAGAAAUGACGGUACCGAGAGAAGAAGCCCCGGCUAACUCCGUGCCAGCAGCCGCGGUAAUACGGGGGGGGCAAGCGUUGUUCGGAAUUACUGGGCGUAAAGGGCUCGUAGGUGGCCAACUAAGUCAGACGUGAAAUCCCUCAGUUUAACUGGGGAACUGCGUCUGAUACUGGAUGGCUUGAGUUUGGGAGAGGGAUGCGGAAUUCCAGGUGUAGCGGUGAAAUGCGUAGAUAUCUGGAGGAACACCGGUGGCGAAGGCGGCAUCCUGGACCAAUACUGACACUGAGGAGCGAAAGCCAGGGGAGCAAACGGGAUUAGAUACCCCGGUAGUCCUGGCCCUAAACGAUGAAUGCUUGGUGUGGCGGGUAUCGAUCCCUGCCGUGCCGAAGCUAACGCAUUAAGCAU
This 818-nucleotide ribosomal RNA is filed under the name uncultured Pseudomonadota bacterium. RNAcentral describes it as "bacterial SSU rRNA". It matches the Rfam family "Bacterial small subunit ribosomal RNA", at positions 71 to 867 of the family's 1533-position model. The record is from RNAcentral. Lineage: Bacteria; Pseudomonadati; Pseudomonadota.